UACGGAGGGCCCAAGCGUUAUCCGGAAUCAUUGGGCUUAAAGGGUUCGUAGGCGGUUUAGCAAGUCAGCGGUGAAAGCCCAUCGCUCAACGGUGGAACGGCCAUUGAUACUGCUAAACUUGAAUUAUUGGGAAGUAACUAGAAUAUGUAGUGUAGCGGUGAAAUGCUUAGAGAUUACAUGGAAUACCAAUUGCGAAGGCAGGUUACUGGGAAUAUAUUGACGCUGAUGGACGAAAGCGUGGGGAGCGAACAGG
RNAcentral lists this ribosomal RNA (253 nucleotides) under uncultured bacterium. RNAcentral's name for it is "partial 16S ribosomal RNA". It matches the Rfam family "Bacterial small subunit ribosomal RNA", at positions 524 to 776 of the family's 1533-position model. The record is from RNAcentral.